CUGAGUUUACGCACUCAUAAACCCUUUUGUGGACCACUGAACGUUGCCUCGGCGGGUUCGCCCGUCGCAGGCCUUAAAAAACUAUUUAUUUACCGUUAAACUGAGUGGCGCAGACAAAUAAGUCAA
Molecule: unclassified non-coding RNA, 126 nt
Filed under: uncultured fungus
Lineage: Eukaryota; Fungi
Description: sequence contains ITS1
Source: RNAcentral